UCUAUCAAAAAGAUUAUAUUAUUUGAUGCACAAUACAUUUUUGAAGCUCAUAUAAAUAUGAGCAUACAUAUCAUCAUGAGAUCUUAAACUAAGUAAAUUUUUUUUAUUUAUAUUUAUUCUUUGAUAUAUUGUUCAUUAUAUUCGCAUUAAUUUAGUCCUAAUUCCAUCCACAUUAUAUUGAUUAUAAAUAUGAAAUAGUAAAUGUUCACUGCGAUAAUUUUUAUGUUCAAUUUUAAUUUUUUAAAAAUAUUAUAUAUUAUAAUUUAUUAAUAAUUAAUAAUUGAUUAAAAAUCUGUGGCAAAUAAUGACAUAUUAUUGAGUCAAUUUAAAUACAACGUAAUUAAAAUAAUUAAAAUGUUGUAUUGAAAAUAUAUAGAUUAAUGAAGAAUACAACAGCUAAUAAUUUGUUUUAUAUAUAUGAUAUUAUAUAUGAUAUUUUCGUUAUUUAUAUUAUUGAUUUAAAAACAUGUUGAAAAAAUUAAAAAUUAAUUAAAUCGAUCAAAAUUAAUAGUAAAAAAAUAUAAGAAAAAUAAAAAAUUUAUUGAUAUAGAAUUUUCGAGAUGAAACACACAUUCGGAAUAAAAUAAGUUUGACUCGUGCCACGUAUGACAACAUAUUAUUGAUACAAAUAAAAAAAAAAAAUCGAUAAUUUGCUAACAGAUGGAAUUAGAAUUAACGCGUAUUAAAUGCUAAAAGCAUUCGCCAUCGCAGCAUCUUCGCAACGGUAUUAUAAUCGACGAUUGCAGGAACAUUUUUUUCGUAGUUUUUAAUUGUAAAUUUUCAGCGUCGCAAUAACCGAUAAUUGACACAAUACGCGCAAUAAGCGCGUUCUGUUUUCAUUUUUUUUCAUUAUCAUUAUAACUUUUUUUUUCUUUUUUUUUUUUUUUUUUUUUUUUUUUUUUUUUUGCUUUAACGAGCAAAGAGUAAAAUGGCGCACGCGUUGAACAUACCUUCUGUUUAAAUUCAAAGCACCGCCAGUUUUGAGCGCAAACGCAAUUUGUAGCACGUUAUCCGCAAAUCGAAGCUUGCAUUAUUCACCAGAGUCGCAUCUAUAGGCCACACGCAUAGGUGGAUAUCCACCACUGGGGACAGCACUGCCAGGUCUUCUACUAAACAUGUCUGCUUGUGGUCCAGGACCAGUACUAUAACUAGGUGCCCCAGUGCUGUAGCUGGGUCCAGUACUCAUUGGCCUGUUAAAUGGAGGCAUAUCAUUAACAGGGGGACCAUCCCUCCUGUCAUAGGCCAUUGAAGCUCCCUGACUUACCCCCCCGGGCCCACCCAUCAUAUCCCCAGGCCCGCCCGGAUAACCCCUGUCAUACAUAAUUGGAAUAUGUUAACCUAUUUUCACUCUAUCCUGCAUAAUGCACCAAAAUUUUCUCAAGCAUAAUUAAUUCAAGAUAUACUAUGGUUGCAAUUUUUAAAUUAGUAUAAGCAUUACAGGUUAGAAUAAAAAUAAAGUUUCAAUUCAUAAUCGUUAUACUAUCGUUAAAAUGUUUUAAAAUGCUACAAAAUACUUAUUCUUCUAUUAUAAAUAUUUUUUUAAAUUGUCAAGAUUUAUAUAAACUUUUCAAAUAUUAAAAAUGUGUUUUUUAAACACAUAUAACAUAUAGAAUCUUAUAAAAAGAAAAGUUAUUACUAAUUGUUAAUUCGAAUCUUUAAUAUUUAACUUAUUAUUUUUUAAAAUUUAUUAAAUUAGUAAAAAUGCAAUAAAAUAAAAUCUAAUGUGAUAAAUAAAA
This is a long non-coding RNA of Apis cerana (Asiatic honeybee), 1736 nucleotides long. RefSeq lists it as uncharacterized. The record is from RefSeq and is a predicted model, not a curated record. NCBI's taxonomy places the organism in Eukaryota, Metazoa, Arthropoda, Insecta, Hymenoptera, Apidae.